This 819-nucleotide ribosomal RNA is filed under the name uncultured bacterium. RNAcentral's name for it is "bacterial SSU rRNA". It matches the Rfam family "Bacterial small subunit ribosomal RNA", at positions 9 to 873 of the family's 1533-position model. The record is from RNAcentral.
GAGUUUGAUCCUGGCUCAGAACGAACGCUGGCGGCAGGCCUAACACAUGCAAGUCGAGCGAGAUCUUCGGAUCUAGCGGCGGACGGGUUAGUAACGCGUGGGAACGUGCCCUUCACUACGGAAUAGUCCCGGGAAACUGGGUUUAAUACCGUAUACGCCCUUCGGGGGAAAGAUUUAUCGGUGAAGGAUCGGCCCGCGUCUGAUUAGAUAGUUGGUGGGGUAAUGGCCUACCAAGUCUACGAUCAGUAGCUGGUUUGAGAGGAUGAUCAGCAACACUGGGACUGAGACACGGCCCAGACUCCUACGGGAGGCAGCAGUGGGGAAUCUUAGACAAUGGGCGCAAGCCUGAUCUAGCCAUGCCGCGUGAGUGAUGAAGGCCUUAGGGUCGUAAAGCUCUUUCGCCUGUGAAGAUAAUGACGGUAGCAGGUAAAGAAACCCCGGCUAACUCCGUGCCAGCAGCCGCGGUAAUACGGAGGGGGUUAGCGUUGUUCGGAAUUACUGGGCGUAAAGCGCACGUAGGCGGACUAAUAAGUCAGAGGUGAGAUCCCAGGGCUCAACCUUGGAACUGCCUUUGAUACUGUUAGUCUUGAGUUCGAGAAAGGUGAGUGGAAUUCCGAGUGUAGAGGUGAAAUUCGUAGAUAUUCGGAGGAACACCAGUGGCGAAGGCGGCUCACUGGCUCGAUACUGACGCUGAGGUGCGAAAGUGUGGGGAGCAAACAGGAUUAGAUACCCUGGUAGUCCACACCGUAAACGAUGAAUGCCAGUCGUCGGGUAGCAUGCUAUUCGGUGACACACCUAACGGAUUAAGCAUUCCGCCUG